ACCCCCAGACGUAGUGUAACCCUACCCUAGUGUUGGUGGGCAGCCGAACGGCUGGCCGCUUCUUGCGUAUUGCGUGGUACCGGGCAGCGCUUGGCGCGCCCGACAAGUCAUUCGCGCUCGGACGGUGAAGCAGUGUACACCGCGCGCGUCAAGUGCAAUCCGUUAAUCGCGAGCCAAGCCAAGUGAGCAGAACCGUGAGCCAAGUCCACCGCACGUGUUUCGAGUUAAACCCUUCCUGAUUAUCUGGAGGCAGCGUGGUGAGCGUGUGAACGACGCUGGUGCUAGCAGUGCUCAAGCCAACAACGAGCCGGAGACAAUCCACGAAUCGAACAUGAGGCCUCCGACACACUUCGGCAACGACAUUACCAACACCGAGGCCAACGGUGACGAGCAGCAGAACAACCAGAACAACCAGAACAACAAUGGAGGCGGAAACAAUAACAACGGCGGUGGUGGAAACAACACGGACUUUAUCGUCGAGCGGCUCACGCAAAUGGGGGCCACGAUGAUGUUCCCGAAGAUUGCGGGCCGCGGCAUUAUCCGGGUCGUCGAGCGCUGUGACGACGCAAAGGAGAACAGUAAUCUGGACCUCUCCGAAUGCGAGCUAAUACAGGUACCGGACGCAGUUUACCAUCUGAUGAGACACACCGAACUGAAAUCAUGUGAUCUGAGCGGAAAUGUGAUAACGAAAAUUUCACCAAAAUUCGCCGUAAAGUUCAGCCUUAUCACAGACCUCAAUCUGUCCCACAAUCAGAUGUCGAAACUGCCCGACGAGCUGGCCGACCUGCAGUCGCUGACGACGCUGGACAUUUCCCACAACUCGUUCAUCACCCUGCCCACGGUAGUGUUCAAAAUGCCAAACCUUCGUGAGCUGCGGGCCAACAAUAAUGCCAUCAUCGACAUCGAUCGCGAUGAGAUCAUUGCUUCCGACUCGCUCGAGCUGGUCGAUCUCCGGCACAAUCCCCUCACGCCAAUGUGUCACGAUCUGCUGAAACACGCGCACGUCUCGUUCCGGAUCGAACUGUCCGAGCGGGAGAAGGAAGAGUGGGAAGAUCUGAUCAUUUGAGCGGUCCGCUCAUCGCUGCGUGCUUUUCCUGCCUUCAAGCUGCAUCUUUACACUAGCGACAGCUACAAAUUAAGUUGCCCGCCCCCCCGCGGUAUGGUCAGAUCCUGCGUGAUAGUUGGGACUAGGAGAGGAUAGUGACGAAUCUGGAUCUUGGCUGUUAUGUUUAGAGAUUAAGGGAGAGUACUCGCUUCGUGACUACACACUGGCCCGCUCUUUGUAUGGCUUCAUUUAGUGCGUAACUAGGGCAACCGAUGGUAUUACUUCGUUCGAGCAUGGAACGUUAUGAAUCGCACCCAGAGCCAGGUCUUUCCCUUUCGAAACUUUCCUUUGCCCGUCCGCCACCAUUUUGCGCUGUAUGUAUUGUAAUUAUAUCAAUGUUUGACGUUCUCUCCGGGGGCCGUACACACAUUCGUUUGUUUUGUGGAUUUCAUGGGCUGCGGUGCACAGAGCACACUCGGCGGUACUCGACGCGGCGCGUACGUUUGGCUAUGGGGCAACAAUUUUGAUCUAGUCAUUGGCGGAUUUGGUCGAAUGCAGACUUUAAAUCGUAGCCGCCACCGCGUUCAUGAAGCGGCAAUCGAAAGCGUUACCGGUAGAGGAAAUUGAUCAAAAUUAUGAACAAGAACAAGAAUCGCUCAGUAGGCAGUGCUCCAGCCAUUGUAAAGACUGUAAAUCAAACAUUAAAAACGAAUCGCUGCGAACCCUCUGGGGUGGUGCGUCCUCCGGAUUGUGCUUUGGGAUGGGUUGUGAGUGACGACUAACCGGACUUUGAAUCGUAUUGGCCCCACGGGACCGUGCUUUUUUGUAAAUAGCACCGUGAAAAGGACGACAAUAAAGAAUCUUAUACACAACUGGACUAGUUUUGUGAGUAACAGUUACGGGUGGAGCAAACCUUCUGACCGACACAGUAUCGCUGCUUGAUGCAACGUUGAAGUUUCCCGACCGGACGACGCCUAAAUUUAUACACGAACUACUCGAUCGUUUCAAGGUACAUUUAUGCAAAACGAAAACGUUACAGUAAGUCAUGAAAUGUGGCCAAAGAUACGCAAUUUAAAGUGAACGAAGUAAAU
This is an RNA transcript of Anopheles bellator, 2136 nucleotides long. It is a transcript of the gene named leucine-rich repeat-containing protein 20, with no coding region annotated. The record is from RefSeq and is a predicted model, not a curated record. NCBI's taxonomy places the organism in Eukaryota, Metazoa, Arthropoda, Insecta, Diptera, Culicidae. The transcript is spliced from 4 exons.